Molecule: ribosomal RNA, 253 nt
Filed under: uncultured bacterium
Lineage: Bacteria
Description: partial 16S ribosomal RNA
Rfam family: Bacterial small subunit ribosomal RNA
Source: RNAcentral
UACGUAGGGUGCGAGCGUUGUCCGGAAUUAUUGGGCGUAAAGAGCUCGUAGGCGGCUUGUCGCGUCGGAUGUGAAAGCCCGGGGCUUAACUCCGGGCCUGCAGUGGGUACGGGCAGACUAGAGUGCGGUAGGGGAGACUGGAAUUCCUGGUGUAGCGGUGAAAUGCGCAGAUAUCAGGAGGAACACCGAUGGCGAAGGCAGCUCACUGGGACGGUACUGACGCUGAGACGCGAAAGCGUGGGGAGCAAACAGG